CGAUUCCGGAGAGGGAGCCUGAGAAACGGCUACCACAUCUAAGGAAGGCAGCAGGCGCGCAAAUUACCCAAUCCUAAUACAGGGAGGUAGUGACAAGAAAUAACAAUACGGGACCUUUCGGUUUUGUAAUUGGAAUGAGUUAAGUAUAAACCCCUUUACAAGUAUCAAUUGGAGGGCAAGUCUGGUGCCAGCAGCCGCGGUAAUUCCAGCUCCAAUAGCGUAUAUUAAAGUUGUUGCAGUUAAAAAGCUCGUAGUUGGAUUUCUGCUAAUUACUUUAUAUAAUUUUACACUUUUUUGUGUAGUUAUAUAGUAUUAACAUAAUUCAUAUUACUAUAUUUUUUGUAGUAUAUGAAAUUUUACUUUGAGAAAAUUAGAGUGCUUAAAGCAGGCUUUUGCCUUGAAUACUUCAGCAUGGAAUAAUA
Molecule: ribosomal RNA, 422 nt
Filed under: Cryptosporidium sp. 103 MSM-2012
Lineage: Eukaryota; Apicomplexa; Conoidasida; Eucoccidiorida; Cryptosporidiidae
Description: bacterial SSU rRNA
Rfam family: Eukaryotic small subunit ribosomal RNA
Source: RNAcentral